Molecule: ribosomal RNA, 490 nt
Filed under: uncultured bacterium
Lineage: Bacteria
Description: partial 16S ribosomal RNA
Rfam family: Bacterial small subunit ribosomal RNA
Source: RNAcentral
AGUGAACGCUGGCGGCAGGCCUAACACAUGCAAGUCGAACGGCAGCACAAGAGAGCUUGCUCUCUGGGUGGCGAGUGGCGGACGGGUGAGGAAUGCAUCGGAAUCUGUCCAUUUGUGGGGGAUAACCCCGGGAAACCGGGACUAAUACCGCAUACGACCUACGGGUGAAAGCAGGGGAUCUUCGGACCUUGCGCAGAUGGAUGAGCCGAUGCCGGAUUAGCUAGUUGGAGGGGUAAAGGCCCACCAAGGCGACGAUCCGUAGCUGGUCUGAGAGGAUGAUCAGCCACACUGGAACUGAGACACGGCCCAGACUCCUACGGGAGGCAGCAGUGGGGAAUAUUGGACAAUGGGCGCAAGCCUGAUCCAGCCAUGCCGCGUGUGUGAAGAAGGCCUUCGGGUUGUAAAGCACUUUUGUUGGGAAAGAAAAGCAGCCGGUUAAUACCCGGUUGUCAUGACGGCACCCAAAGAAUAAGCACCGGCUAACUUCGUG